AACGAACGCUGGCGGCAGGCCUCAUACAUGCAAGUCGAGCGAUUAAAGCUCCUUCGGGAGUGUAUAAAGCGGCGAACGGGUGAGUAACAGGUGGAUGAUCUGCCUCCCGGUGGGGGAUAACGGCUGGAAACGGCCGCUAAUACCGCAUUCGGUUGGUGCGUUACGGCGCACCAAAGAAAGGCGCUUCACGGCGUCGCCGGGAGAUGAGUCCGCCCCCCAUUAGCUAGUUGGCGGGAUAAUAGCCCACCAAGGCUUCGAUGGGUAGCCGAACUGAGAGGUUGAUCGGCCACACUGGAACUGAGACACGGUCCAGACACCUACGGGUGGCUG
Molecule: ribosomal RNA, 330 nt
Filed under: uncultured Candidatus Sumerlaeota bacterium
Lineage: Bacteria; Candidatus Sumerlaeota
Description: bacterial SSU rRNA
Rfam family: Bacterial small subunit ribosomal RNA
Source: RNAcentral